AUCCAAACUCCAAAUUUACCCUCGUAUAAUGCUACCUUUAAUUCUUAUAAUUCGUCGCUUAAAAUGCAAAGUUAACCUGUUAAAAAGUCGAUCACUAAAAUAUGCGUCUUAAGUCCAAACUCACUAUCUUUGAAAGUGACCUUGUAACUUCUCAUUAUAAUAAAAUUUCAUUUCUCGGUUUGUAUAGUUCAAACGUAUAAAAAAUUAAAAUAAGAAUAACCACGCCUUAAAACUACUCACAUGUUCAGUCUACACAACAUACAAUAAUUAAAUGGAAUCGCUUAAGUAAUAAAAUGCAUUAAUAGUUAACAAAAUUCAUAUUUUAUAUUGAUUUGUUUUCCUUACUAUACAACUACAUGUUCAUCUCGUAGACCAAAACGAAUUGAAAACCUUUUAUUUUCUUGAUACAAUAGAUGUCUUCAACUGUCGGACAAAAUAAUGGUGAUUCUCCGGUGAACAUUGAAAUCUCCGUCAAAGAGAAAAGAAGAAUAGAAAAUGGAGUUCAAGACAAGACUUAGAUCUUGAUCUAGAAGCUUAACAAAGUACUAUAUGAUGUAAAGCUUCAACAAAUGGGUUCCUAUUUUUCUCUAUUGGGCUUACCAGCAUAUUGGGCUAACUUAGUUGACUUUGGGCCUCAGCAGAUAAAAGCCCAGUAGAGAAUUGAGCAGAUAGGAAUAAGGACCUUGUAUUUUCCUUUUUCCAUUUUACAGUUAGGUUGACACUUGUAAAUAAUUUAUUUAGUUAGUUAGGGAAUAACAAACAGGAGUAGGGACACGUAUAGUAGCAUGUCAGCUUUAGAUUCUUUUCUUAGUGUAUAAAUACAUGGCCUUGUACAGUGAUUGAAAUCAUCAAAUACAGUGGAAAAUUUCCAACUUCUUUUCUUAUUCUGUCAUAGUAUCAGAGAAGGUUUAAUUCUGCUCAUAAUUGUUAUUAGAUUUUCUUUGUUUGUUUCAAUUUCUGCUAUCUCGUAUUUGAUCUGUUUCCUUGUUGUUUUUUAAUUUCAGCUAAAAUGGGAACUAGCUGUCAAUCUGCUAGUGAAGUAGUAGCUUUAGCUACAUCCAAAACUAAUGGAGUAGUUGAUUCUACUCAUCCCUUUAUCUUCAUCCCUCGCAUUGCCCAGGGAUGAACCUUGUUUCUUUACCCUUUGAUGGAAAAAGUUAUGGAGGGUGGAGACGUGCUGUAGUGAUUGCUCUUUCGGUGAAAAACAAACUGGGUUUUAUUGAUGGAUCCUUAGAUUCCGAACAAUGAAUCUGGUUUGGAGAAUUCCUUGACACACUGCAAUGAUAUGGUGUUGUCCUAGCUUUUGAAUUCACUCUUCAAAGAGAUGGAAAAGAGUGUUCUUUGAUCCCAAAGUGCUAAAGAUCUGUAGAGUGACUUGGAAGACAGGGCCCUUCAAUGAAGAGCCCUCUGGAGGUUGGUAAAGCAUAAGGAGGCCUCUAUUUUGUCAAGUCAUGUAAUCCAGCCAACAAUUCUAAAGUUCUUCCUAAGUCUGGCAAUGUUUUUCUUUCCAACAAAGUAUCUUGUAGGGCUUUGAAUGCUCCAGUUUCAAUUUCUACUUUCGAUCUUUUUAAUUCAAAUGUAAAAGAAAUGUUAUGGCACUAUCGAUUAGGCCAUAUGCCAUUAAGAAAUAUGAAGAAUGUUUUAUCUA
This is a long non-coding RNA of Lycium barbarum (goji berry), 1648 nucleotides long. RefSeq lists it as uncharacterized. The transcript is spliced from 2 exons. The record is from RefSeq and is a predicted model, not a curated record. Lineage: Eukaryota; Viridiplantae; Streptophyta; Magnoliopsida; Solanales; Solanaceae.